This 422-nucleotide ribosomal RNA is filed under the name uncultured archaeon. RNAcentral's name for it is "partial 16S ribosomal RNA". It matches the Rfam family "Archaeal small subunit ribosomal RNA", at positions 323 to 746 of the family's 1478-position model. The record is from RNAcentral.
CUACGGGUUGCUGCAGGCGAGAAAACUUUGCAAUGUGCGAAAGCACGACAAGGUUAAUCCGAGUGGUUUGUGCUAAACGAACCUUUUGACAGUCCUAGAAACACUGUUGAAUAAGGGGUGGGCAAGUUCUGGUGUCAGCCGCCGCGGUAAAACCAGCACCUCAAGUGGUCAGGAUGAUUAUUGGGCCUAAAGCAUCCGUAGCCGGCUCUGUAAGUUUUCGGUUAAAUCUGUACGCUCAACCUACAGGCUGCCGGGAAUACUGCAGAGCUAGGGAGUGGGAGAGGUAGACGGUACUCGGUAGGAAGGGGUAAAAUCCUUUGAUCUAUUGAUGACCACCUGUGGCGAAGGCGGUCUACCAGAACACGUCCGACGGUGAGGGAUGAAAGCUGGGGGAGCAAACCGGAUUAGAUACCCGAGUAGUC